This 314-nucleotide ribosomal RNA is filed under the name uncultured bacterium. RNAcentral describes it as "bacterial SSU rRNA". It matches the Rfam family "Bacterial small subunit ribosomal RNA", at positions 30 to 342 of the family's 1533-position model. The record is from RNAcentral.
AUUGAACGCUGGCGGAAUGCUUUACACAUGCAAGUCGAGCGGCAGCGCGGGGGCAACCCUGGCGGCGAGCGGCGAACGGGUGAGUAACACAUCGGAACGUGUCCUUAAGUGGGGGAUAGCUCGGCGAAAGCCGGAUUAAUACCGCAUAAGCUCUGAGGAGGAAAGCGGGGGAUUCGCAAGGACCUCGCGCUGUUGGAGCGGCCGAUGUCGGAUUAGCUAGUGGUGGGGUAAAGGCUCACCGAAGGCGACGAUCCGUAGCUGGUCUGAGAGGAUGAUCAGCCACACUGGAACUGAGACACGGUCCAGACUCCUAC